GAUGAACGCUGGCGGCGUGCCUAAUACAUGCAAGUCGAGCGAACGGACGAGAAGCUUGCUUCUCUGAUGUUAGCGGCGGACGGGUGAGUAACACGUGGAUAACCUACCUAUAAGACUGGGAUAACUUCGGGAAACCGGAGCCAAUACCGGAUAAUAUUUUGAACCGCAUGGUUCAAAAGUGAAAGACGGUCUUGCUGUCACUUAUAGAUGGAUCCGCGCUGCAUUAGCUAGUUGGUAAGGUAACGGCUUACCAAGGCAACGAUGCAUAGCCGACCUGAGAGGGUGAUCGGCCACACUGGAACUGAGACACGGUCCAGACUCCUACGGGAGGCAGCAGUAGGGAAUCUUCCGCAAUGGGCGAAAGCCUGACGGAGCAACGCCGCGUGAGUGAUGAAGGUCUUCGGAUCGUAAAACUCUGUUAUUAGGGAAGAACAUAUGUGUAAGUAACUGUGCACAUCUUGACGGUACCUAAUCAGAAAGCCACGGCUAACUACGUGCCAGCAGCCGCGGUAAUACGUAGGUGGCAAGCGUUAUCCGGAAUUAUUGGGCGUAAAGCGCGCGUAGGCGGUUUUUUAAGUCUGAUGUGAAAGCCCACGGCUCAACCGUGGAGGGUCAUUGGAAACUGGAAAACUUGAGUGCAGAAGAGGAAAGUGGAAUUCCAUGUGUAGCGGUGAAAUGCGCAGAGAUAUGGAGGAACACCAGUGGCGAAGGCGACUUUCUGGUCUGUAACUGACGCUGAUGUGCGAAAGCGUGGGGAUCAAACAGGAUUAGAUACCCUGGUAGUCCACGCCGUAAACGAUGAGUGCUAAGUGUUAGGGGGUUUCCGCCCCUUAGUGCUGCAGCUAACGCAUUAAGCACUCCGCCUGGGGAGUACGACCGCAAGGUUGAAACUCAAAGGAAUUGACGGGGACCCGCACAAGCGGUGGAGCAUGUGGUUUAAUUCGAAGCAACGCGAAGAACCUUACCAAAUCUUGACAUCCUUUGACAACUCUAGAGAUAGAGCUUUCCCCUUCGGGGGACAAAGUGACAGGUGGUGCAUGGUUGUCGUCAGCUCGUGUCGUGAGAUGUUGGGUUAAGUCCCGCAACGAGCGCAACCCUUAAGCUUAGUUGCCAUCAUUAAGUUGGGCACUCUAAGUUGACUGCCGGUGACAAACCGGAGGAAGGUGGGGAUGACGUCAAAUCAUCAUGCCCCUUAUGAUUUGGGCUACACACGUGCUACAAUGGACAAUACAAAGGGCAGCGAAACCGCGAGGUCAAGCAAAUCCCAUAAAGUUGUUCUCAGUUCGGAUUGUAGUCUGCAACUCGACUACAUGAAGCUGGAAUCGCUAGUAAUCGUAGAUCAGCAUGCUACGGUGAAUACGUUCCCGGGUCU
RNAcentral lists this ribosomal RNA (1372 nucleotides) under uncultured bacterium. Its description in RNAcentral is "bacterial SSU rRNA". It matches the Rfam family "Bacterial small subunit ribosomal RNA", at positions 28 to 1381 of the family's 1533-position model. The record is from RNAcentral.